GAUUUUGUUAAGCGGUACACAAACAUUGAAGACCUGUUGUGUACUGCAUCAGCUUUGGAUCCACGCUUCAAAACCCUGCCUUUCCUCAGUGACCGUGAGACCGAGAGGAUCUUCUUGUCCAUUACAGAUGAAGCUACAAACCUGCAUGAUAAGAAAGUAGAGGAGAGCCAUCCCAGUCCGAGUGAUAUUCAAGAGCCAGAUCAGAGAGACCCAACAUCCGUCCAGUCCAGGUCCAUGAAGAACCAAGAGGUGAUUGUCCUCCUUGUAAAAAGAGGAAAAGUACAGCACUGGACCAGCUGUUUGGAGAAACAUAUGUGGUAAGACCAUCAAGAAGCUCCAGGGAGAAGGUCAGCGAGGAAAUCCUGAGGUACAGAGAGAGAAACCUUUUGCCCCUGAAUGGCAAUCCACUGGAGUGGUGGAGAGCACAGGUCGACUUACCAUUGUUGUCAGAUAUUGCAAAAAGAUACCUCUGCAUACCAGCUACAAGUGUAGCAUCAGAAAGAGUUUUCAGUACCGCAGGAGAUAUUGUUUCCUCUCAACGCAGUGUACUUAGGGGUGACCAUGCCGAUCAAUUGAUUUUUCUCAAGAAGAAUCUUAAAAAACUCGAGCACAAAUGAAUUAUUAGGAGGUAGCUAAAGGAUAUCAGCAUACACUAAAUGUCCUACAAGAAUUGUAUUAGUUCUACUUAUAUAUAUUUUUUUUCUCCUUAUGCUGUGUUUGGCAGCAAUUUGUGCCAUUACAUUAAAGUAAUAAUCUAGGCCAGGAUGGCGGUUUUGGUUUAAACAUUAUUUUCUUACAGU
Gadus chalcogrammus (walleye pollock) is the source of this 800-nucleotide long non-coding RNA. RefSeq lists it as uncharacterized. The transcript is spliced from 3 exons. The record is from RefSeq and is a predicted model, not a curated record. NCBI's taxonomy places the organism in Eukaryota, Metazoa, Chordata, Actinopteri, Gadiformes, Gadidae.